CAGCCGCCGCGGGAAUACGAAGGGUGCAAGCGUUACUCGGAAUUACUGGGCGUAAAGCGUGCGUAGGUGGUGGUUUAAGUCCGUUGUGAAAGCCCUGGGCUCAACCUGGGAAUUGCAGUGGAUACUGGGUCACUAGAGUGUGGUAGAGGAUAGUGGAAUUUCCGGUGUAGCAGUGAAAUGCGUAGAGAUCGGAAGGAACAUCUGUGGCGAAGGCGACUAUCUGGGCCAACACUGACACUGAGGCACGAAAGCGUGGGGAGCAAACAGGAUUAGAUACCCGGGUAGUCCCUGUCUCUUAUAC
This 301-nucleotide ribosomal RNA is filed under the name uncultured bacterium. RNAcentral describes it as "partial 16S ribosomal RNA". It matches the Rfam family "Bacterial small subunit ribosomal RNA", at positions 509 to 807 of the family's 1533-position model. The record is from RNAcentral.